GACGAACGCUGGCGGCGUGCCUAACACAUGCAAGUCAACUUGACUGAAGGAGCAAUCUGACAGUAGAGUGGCGCAAGGGUGCGUAACGCGUAAGUAACUUGCCCAAGGUAAGGAAUAACGUCGAGAAAUCGGCGCUAAUACCUCAUAAUGCAGCGGAUCCGCAUGGAUAUGUUGUUAAAGGUUUACCGCUUGGGAUAGGCUUGCGUCUGAUUAGCUAGUUGGUGUGGUAACGGCACACCAAGGCUACGAUCAGUAACUGGUCUGAGAGGAUG
Molecule: ribosomal RNA, 272 nt
Filed under: uncultured bacterium
Lineage: Bacteria
Description: partial 16S ribosomal RNA
Rfam family: Bacterial small subunit ribosomal RNA
Source: RNAcentral